UACGAAGGGGGCUAGCGUUGCUCGGAAUUACUGGGCGUAAAGGGCGCGUAGGCGGUCUGCUAAGCGUGCGGUGAAAGCCUGGGGCUCAACCCCAGGUCUGCCGUGCGAACUGGUGGACUUGAGCACUGUAGAGGCAGGUGGAAUUCCGGGUGUAGCGGUGGAAUGCGUAGAGAUCCGGAAGGACACCGGUGGCGAAGGCGGAUCUCUGGGCCUUGCCUGACGCUGAGGCGCGAAAGCUAGGGGAGCGAACAGG
RNAcentral lists this ribosomal RNA (253 nucleotides) under uncultured bacterium. RNAcentral describes it as "partial 16S ribosomal RNA". It matches the Rfam family "Bacterial small subunit ribosomal RNA", at positions 524 to 776 of the family's 1533-position model. The record is from RNAcentral.